Molecule: ribosomal RNA, 609 nt
Filed under: Phaonia pallida
Lineage: Eukaryota; Metazoa; Arthropoda; Insecta; Diptera; Muscidae
Description: partial 12S ribosomal RNA
Rfam family: tRNA (bases 364-435)
Source: RNAcentral
AGUCUAUUCAGAGGAACUUGUUUUGUAAUCGAUAAUCCGCGAUGGACCUUACUUAAAUUUGUAAAUCAGUUUAUAUACCGUUGUUAUUAGAAUAUUUUAUAAAAAUGUUAAUUUUCAUAAUUUUAAAAAAGAAAAUAUAUCAAAUCAAGGUGUAGCUAAUAUUUAAGUAUUAAUGAGUUACAAUAAAUUUAUUUAAAUGGAUAUAAAUUUGAAAUAUUUAUUGAAAGUGGAUUUGAUAGUAAAAUUAUAAAGAUUAUUAUUUUGAUUUUAGCUCUAAAAUAUGUACACAUCGCCCGUCACUCUUGUUAUUAAGGUAAGAUAAGUCGUAACAUAGUAGAUGUACUGGAAAGUGUAUCUAGAAUGCAAUUUAAAACUUAAUUAGUAAAGUAUUUCAUUUACAUUGAAAAAAUUUUUGUGCAAAUCAAUAUAAAUUGAUUAAAUUUUAUUUAUUAAUAAAUUGUAUUUUUUGUAAAAAUUUUUAUAUUAAAAAUAAUUAUAAAAAUUUAAUUUUUAGUAUUUUUUAAAGAAAAAAUAAUUUUAAUUAUAGUUUAAUAGUAUUGUAAAAGAAUAUUGAAAUAAUUUGAAAAAUAAUUAUUGUAAAAGAAAAUU